UUUCCCACUUGGAGAACAUCCUGGUCUGGCCUGGCUACACUGCAAGCGCUCGGCAGCCUCUUGUGGUCAGUGGCUGCCCCAGUGAGCAGCACAGCUACAGAGGCCCAGGAAAACCAACCCCAGGAGCGUGGAUGUUCACUGCCUUCCUUCAACCACUCCAGGCAGGAUUCCUGCGGAGCUGUAUUUACUUUACAUCCAUGUGAACUGCUGUCAUCACUACUGUGUCCAAGCCCAGAGGAUGAACUGGAAAAGAAGAGAGGGGGAAAAUAAUAAAAAGAGGAAAUUGGUUUUCACAACACACUCAAAGCCUGAGUAACAGAGGAGAACUUUAAUUAUCUCCAGUCACAAAGAGAGACAGGAAAUUUGGACUUUUAAUUAGCCAUUUGGAGUGCAGUUGGAUAUUUUUUUAGCUAGAUAAUUUAAAUGCGAAUAAUUCAAGUCUGACUAAAUGAAAGUCACAUAAUCAGAAUGCAAAUAAUUGAAUUUCUACUGCAUUCAUUAAUUCAGUGUGGAGGUGUGUGUGAAGACUACUAUGAUGAGCUGUCACAGCUCAAUAAAAUCUCAGUCAAUUAAUUUUUUCA
This is a long non-coding RNA of Pan troglodytes (chimpanzee), 581 nucleotides long. RefSeq lists it as uncharacterized. The transcript has 2 exons. NCBI's taxonomy places the organism in Eukaryota, Metazoa, Chordata, Mammalia, Primates, Hominidae. The record is from RefSeq and is a predicted model, not a curated record.